Long non-coding RNA from Lutra lutra (Eurasian river otter), 256 nucleotides. RefSeq lists it as uncharacterized. The transcript is spliced from 3 exons. The record is from RefSeq and is a predicted model, not a curated record. NCBI's taxonomy places the organism in Eukaryota, Metazoa, Chordata, Mammalia, Carnivora, Mustelidae.
GAGAGUAGUUCAAGUCUACAUGUACCAAGGAGAGUCAUAGAAACCAGCCAGCCCACGCGAAGAAGGAUUCCCUCUGAGAAGACUCCGAUGAAACAUAUUUGGUGCCUAGUGAGAAAUGGAUGAAAGGUGAUUCUGGAGAAGUCAUAAAUGCAAGCAGACAAAAGAAGCAAGGCAGACAGACAACUGGAAAGAGAGAGAUGGAUAAGAGAUGCCAGAUAUGAAGUCUUAGCAGAAAGAAAUCUGGAAGCCAAGGACA